This 107-nucleotide small nucleolar RNA is filed under the name Oryza punctata. RNAcentral describes it as "Plant small nucleolar RNA R71". It matches the Rfam family "Plant small nucleolar RNA R71". Rfam says of the family: R71 is a member of the C/D box family of snoRNAs containing the C (UGAUGA) and D (CUGA) box motifs. Multiple nearly identical copies of this snoRNA have been identified in Arabidopsis, and it is thought to function as a 2'-O-ribose methylation guide for 18S ribosomal RNA. Lineage: Eukaryota; Viridiplantae; Streptophyta; Magnoliopsida; Poales; Poaceae. The record is from Rfam by way of RNAcentral.
AUCCUAUGGUGAGGACAUGCCAGGAUGUAAUCAUGGAACCUUUCCCAUGCCUUCGGGAAUGACUCAUUUGUCGCUUGCUGAAAGAUUGAAAUCUUUCCUCGAAGAGC